Molecule: non-coding RNA, 212 nt
Filed under: Deltaproteobacteria bacterium
Lineage: Bacteria; Pseudomonadati; Myxococcota; Myxococcia
Source: RNAcentral
AAUUGAAUAUUGUAUCCAGGUGACCCCUGUGUUGAAUCUGCACGCGUAGAGUGCCAUCGGGGUAGAAUAGGGAAGAGGGUGAGAAUCCCUCACGGACCCGCCACUGUGAACGGUGACGAAAUCUGCACCUAAGCCACUAGUUCUUACUGGGAAGGCGUCAGAGAGUAGGAAGAACCGUAAGUCAGGAGACCUGCCUGGGUAUGCCUCACAUC